This 980-nucleotide ribosomal RNA is filed under the name uncultured organism. RNAcentral's name for it is "bacterial SSU rRNA". It matches the Rfam family "Bacterial small subunit ribosomal RNA", at positions 54 to 991 of the family's 1533-position model. The record is from RNAcentral.
CAUGCAAGUCGAGCGAGAAAGUUCCCUUCGGGGAGCGAGUACAGCGGCAAACGGGUGAGUACCACGUGGGGUAACUUGCCUUCGGGUGGGGGACAACCUCGGGAAACCGAGGCUAAUACCGCAUAACGUUAUGCUUUCGCAUGUUAGCAUAACCAAAGGGGGGGAUCUUCGGACCUCCCGCCUGAAGAGAGGCCCGCGCCUGAUUAGCUAGUUGGUAGGGUAAUGGCCUACCAAGGCGAUGAUCAGUAGCCGGUCUGAGAGGAUGGCUGGCCACACUGGGAUUGAGAUACGGCCCAGACUCCUACGGGAGGCAGCAGUCUAGAAGCUUCGGCAAUGGGCGAAAGCCUGACCGAGCGACGCCGCGUGCAGGACGACGGUCUUCGGAUUGUAAACUGCUUUCGACAGGGAUGAACGGUAAGGAAGUUAAUAACUUCUUUAUUUGACAGUACCUGGAGAAGAAGCCCCGGCUAACUCCGUGCCAGCAGCCGCGGUAAUACGGAGGGGGCAAGCGUUGUUCGGAUUUAUUGGGCGUAAAGCGCGUGUAGGCGGUAGAGUAAGUCGAAUGUUAAAGACCCACGGNUCACCCGGGGGAAUGCGUCCGAUACUGCUUUACUUGAGUGCGGGAGAGGAAAGUGGAAUUCCUGGUGUAGCGGUGAAAUGCGUAGAUAUCAGGAGGAACACCGGUGGCGAAGGCGGCUUUCUGGCCCGCAACUGACGCUGAGACGCGAAAGCGUGGGGAGCGAACGGGAUUAGAUACCCCGGUAGUCCACGCCGUAAACGUUGGAUACUAGGUGUGGGGAAGGUUUUUCUACCCGUUUCGGUGCAGUAAGCUAACGCAAUUAAGGUAUCCAGGCCCUGGGGAGUACGGCCCGCAAGGUUGGAAACUUCAAAAGGAAUUGACGGGGGCCCCGACCAACGGUUGGAGCAUCCGUUUAAAUUGGAGGCAACGGCGAGGAACGUUACAGGACUUGGAAAUACCG